Molecule: ribosomal RNA, 253 nt
Filed under: uncultured bacterium
Lineage: Bacteria
Description: partial 16S ribosomal RNA
Rfam family: Bacterial small subunit ribosomal RNA
Source: RNAcentral
UACGGGGGGGGCAAGCGUUGUUCGGAAUUACUGGGCGUAAAGGGCUCGUAGGCGGCCAACUAAGUCGAACGUGAAAUCCCCGGGCUCAACCCGGGAACUGCGUCCGAUACUGGUGGGCUUGAAUUCGGGAGAGGGAUGUGGAAUUCCAGGUGUAGCGGUGAAAUGCGUAGAUAUCUGGAGGAACACCGGUGGCGAAGGCGGCAUCCUGGACCGAUAUUGACGCUGAUGCGCGAAAGCCAGGGGAGCAAACGGG